AUUGAACGCUGGCGGCAGGCCUAACACAUGCAAGUCGAACGGUAGCACAGAGAGCUUGCUCUCGGGUGACGAGUGGCGGACGGGUGAGUAAUGUCUGGGAAACUGCCUGAUGGAGGGGGAUAACUACUGGAAACGGUAGCUAAUACCGCAUAAUGUCGCAAGACCAAAGAGGGGGGGAACCCUUCGGGGCCUCUUGCCAUCAGAUGUGCCCAGAUGGGAUUAG
RNAcentral lists this ribosomal RNA (223 nucleotides) under uncultured bacterium. RNAcentral's name for it is "partial 16S ribosomal RNA". It matches the Rfam family "Bacterial small subunit ribosomal RNA", at positions 30 to 244 of the family's 1533-position model. The record is from RNAcentral.